AACCGUAAACGCAAAUGCUCACUAGGAAGAGUGCCUGUGCAUUCGGCUAGUCAUUUCUGUAAAAGACAAGACGUGGGUGCAACAGUCAAUACGUCCAUCUAAAAAAGAAAUAGGAAGUGCGGGAAUGCAGAAAACACAUAAGCAGGUUCCUUCUGACGAUGCAAAUAUGAUCAGUAUCAAAGAUGCUCACCAGAAUGACCAGCCAUAGUCCCAUGUGUGAGGCCUCCAGUCUUCAGGUCCCAAGCUGACUGUAAUCUGGAACACUUGUGUGUACAUCAUGUGGGCCACCAUUCCCAGAAGACCUGUUGAGUAAUCCACAUGUCCACUGGAAUUAAAGAGGAGCAUUAAGGCCCCAAAUGAAAAGGGCUAUUGGGUAUUCAGCAAAUCAAAUAAUCAAAAAUUCAAAAAGCAGCAGCUGUUCUGGCUUUAUAAAUGUGAGGGUUUACCCACAAUGCAUCUGAUAUUAAGUAAAACGUUUAAUUCUGUGAAAUAUUGUUUUAUAAAUCUUAUGUUUUUUUUUUUAAAUAAAAUGUAAUGGAAAAGCUG
This is a non-coding RNA of Danio rerio (zebrafish), 546 nucleotides long. NCBI's taxonomy places the organism in Eukaryota, Metazoa, Chordata, Actinopteri, Cypriniformes, Danionidae. The record is from Ensembl.